CCUUGAGUUUGAUCAUGGCUCAGAACGAACGCUGGCGGCAUGCCUAACACAUGCAAGUCGAACGAGACCUUCGGGUCUAGUGGCGGACGGGUGAGUAACGCGUGGGAACCUGCACUUCAGUGGGGGAUAACGACGGGAAACUGUCGCUAAUACCGCAUACGCCCUACGGGGGAAAGAUUUAUCGCUGAAGGAUGGGCCCGCGUCGGAUUAGCUAGUUGGUGAGGUAACGGCUCACCAAGGCGACGAUCCGUAGCUGGUCUAAGAGGAUGAUCAGCCACACUGGGACUGAGACACGGCCCAGACUCCUACGGGAGGCAGCAGUGGGGAAUAUUGGACAAUGGGGGAAACCCUGAUCCAGCAAUGCCGCGUGAGUGAUGAAGGCCUUAGGGUUGUUUUUUUUUUUCGGUGGUGACGAUGAUGACGGUAACCACAGAAGAAGCCCCGGCUAACUCCGUGCCAGCAGCCGCGGUA
Molecule: ribosomal RNA, 471 nt
Filed under: uncultured Alphaproteobacteria bacterium
Lineage: Bacteria; Pseudomonadati; Pseudomonadota; Alphaproteobacteria
Description: partial 16S ribosomal RNA
Rfam family: Bacterial small subunit ribosomal RNA
Source: RNAcentral